ACCCUCAAACCUAAAGAAUCUGGCAGUCUUUGACCAAAUAAGAGGAACUUGCUCAAUAAAUGAUGAUCCUCAAAAAACCUUGCUUGGUUUACCUACUGUAUACCACCAUCUUAAAAAAGUUUCCAUAGCUUUUUUCUAAUAAGUAAAACUAACAUGUUAGGUCUAGGUGCAGCCAAUUACCAAGUUAAAGUGAGUUACAAUCUCGUCAGAGAGUAGUUUGUAUAAUAAACCUAUAAAAUUCUAAGAGGAUUUUAAUGUAAUAAAAGUUCAAUAUGCCUUUAUGACUCCCCCCUUCAUAKAUGUACAUAUCGCCCGUCGCUCGCGGGAA
RNAcentral lists this ribosomal RNA (328 nucleotides) under Diastyloides serratus. Its description in RNAcentral is "partial small subunit ribosomal RNA". Lineage: Eukaryota; Metazoa; Arthropoda; Malacostraca; Cumacea; Diastylidae. The record is from RNAcentral.